Molecule: long non-coding RNA, 37525 nt
Filed under: Pelobates cultripes (western spadefoot toad)
Lineage: Eukaryota; Metazoa; Chordata; Amphibia; Anura; Pelobatidae
Source: RNAcentral
GUGUACGUACUCUGGACUCAAGCUUCUGAAGCUGCUUCUUGCCACCUUUCAGUGCUAGCUGCUCAGCUUCAUCCAGACGAUGCUGCAGAUCCUUCACGGAUUGCUCAAGAUUCUUCUUCAUUCUCUCCAAGUGAGAGCUGGUGUCCUGCUCCUUCUUCAGUUCCUCUGCCAUAAGAGCAGCCUUCGUAAUAAAAAAAAAAAAUCCAAAAAGACUGUAAAUAAUAGAGCAAAAAAGCAAACCCAAGAUCUGCUCAUAAAGUGAAAACUUGGGAAAAACAUACAUCAGUGAUGGCCUUUUUGGCUUUCUCCUCAGCAUUUCUUGAUUCUUGGACAGCUUCCUCAGCUUCGCUCUGGAGUUGAGCAAUGUCAGACUCAAGCUUCUUCUUGGUGCCGAUGAGGUUGGUGUUCUGAAGUGGAGAAGAAUAUAGUGUUUUAAUUAUUCCAUCUAAUUAGGCAUAUUCUGUCAAUGCACAUUUAAUUUGUUUCCAUCGUAUUUAUUUUACCUGUGAGUGCAGAAGCUGGACACGUUCACUUGCAUCCAGGAGCUCUUGUUCUGCAGCCUUACGAGAUCUCUCUGUCUGCUCCAGAGCAGACCUGUUCUCUUCAAGUUCAGCCUGCAGCAGGUUGGUUCUACGUUCAAUCACAGCCACCUGUUCCUUCAGAUCUUCCUGUCCUCUUAUUGCAUCAUCCAGGUGAAGCUGGGCAUCCUGUUAAAGAAAUAUCAAAAUAUAUGUUCAAGCUGUUACCUAUUAUGGACAAUAUGCUAGAUACCACAUUUUCAGAAUCAACAGCUCUAACAUUAGAGUAAAAAUAAUAAAUAAUGUGUUAGGGGUACUCUUGAAAUACCUUAAAUUGGGCCUGGACAUUGCGGAGCUGCUUCUGUGCCUCUGCAGCCUGGCGGUUGGCAUGGCUGAGCUGGAUUUCAAGUUCAUUCAAGUCUCCUUCCAUCUUCUUCUUCAGUCUCAGAGCAUCAUUCCUGCUUCUGAUUUCAGAGUCCAGUGUGCUCUGCAGGGUAUCAACAGCUCUCUGGGAGUUCCUCUUCAGCUGUUCAAUCUCUUCAUCCUUCUCUGAAAUUUUUCUGUCCACCUCAGAUUUGAUCUGGUUCAAUUCCAGCUGAACACGUAGGAUCUUGGCUUCUUCAUGUUCCAAAGAUCCCUAUUAGAAAUAUAUAUAUAUAUAAUUGGUUGUUUAAACGUAUCUGUUCACACAGCAAUAUUGGUUGCAGAUAUUUUAUUAAUUUAUUUCAGGCACAUACCUCUGCUUCCUCCAGAGCAGCCUGUAGGUCACUCUUUUCCUGCUCAACUUGCUUCUUGGCCUUCUCCAGCUCGUUAAUGGAUUUACCAGAUUCACCGAUCUGUUCAGUGAGAUCUGAGAUCUCCUCUAUAAAAGUUAUGGGCAAAUAUUCAUUUAGACUUCGCUCUAUAGUAACUAGUAUUUAAGAUUUUUGUAAGUUCUGCAGAAAUUCAGCAGUACUAAUAUAUGUAAGGAUUGGUUCUGUUGUGACACAAGUACUACAGAAGGAGGAAAAUACAACAAAGAGAUUUAGGAAACCUAAAGGUCCCAUUUUAUACAAACAUUUAUAUAAUGUCAUCACAGUUCAGUAAUUUGCAUAGUUCCACUUCUUGUGUAUGUGUUUUUAGUUGCCAUCUGUAUAAUUAUACUAAUGCGAAUACUAGAAAAUAUGUUUAAUUUGAAGAAUUAUUUAAAAGUUAGCAUUGUAUCCUGCAACCAAUGUAAUAUAGAUAAACCUACGUUGCAAGUUCUUGUUUUCACGUUUCAAGGUCUCAACUUGUUCCAAGGCUUCCUCAUAAGCAUUCUUCAGCUUAAAGAUAUCGGUGCUCAGGCCACGGGAUUCUUUCUGAGCAGCCUCCAGCUCAGCCUGACCCUCUUCAUAUUUCUGCUUCCAUUCUACCAGCACCUAUUAUAUUAAUACAGAAUGAUAAUGUGUUGAUAGUGUAGAUUUUGUUUGUUUUUGCAAAUUUAGGAAUUUGUUUUCAAUAACUACCUUGUCGAAGUUCCUCUGCUUCUUGUCUAGAGCAGCUGCUGCACUGUUGGCUCUCUCAACAUCCACCAUCAGGUCCUCCACCUCAGAUUGUAGCCUCUGCUUGGUCUUUUCCAGGGAGGCACAUUUAGAGUUCACGGCCUCUACCUGUUCCUCAGCGUCCUGCAAGCGCUGGGCAAGCUUCUUCCUGUAAGGACAUUGAUGGUAGAACUUAAGGACCUUAUUCAAAGCCCAAUAACAUUGCUUAUAUUGGGUUUAUUUAGUGGGAACAUACUUGGCCUCUUCCAGUUCCUCUGUGCGCUGAAUGGCAUCCGUUUCAUAUUUGGUCCUCCAUUGAGCAACUUCACCAUUUGAUUUGGACAAUGAGCGCUGAAGCUCAGCCUUGGCCUCUUGUUCCUCCUCAUAUUGCUCACGGAGCAAGUCGUUGUCAUGACGGGAGGAUUGGAGGGCGUGAGCUAGGGCAUUCUUAGCCUGAAAAAACGCAGGAAAUAUGUAUUUGAUGGAAUUACAGAAUGAAAGGUUUGAAAAUGAAUGUUAGAUAGCAGGUGAUCUCUUUAUAGACUUAAUCCGAUGCCCUAAUCAACAAUUUGUAAUACAUUCAUAUUCAGAAGUCCUAAUAGUUUUACCUUUGAUUCCUCCUCAAGUUGUCUCUUGAGUUCCUCCACUUGUUGUGUGAAGCCUUGCUUUCCUCUUGAGAGCUGUGAAACCAGAGAUUCCCUCUCUUCAAGCUGGCGGGCAAGCUCACCUAGAGUGAACCAAAAAUUAAUGCAAAACUUUGCAAACAUAAAUAAGCAAUGUUGUAUGUAGCAAUGUUCUGAACUAAAUUACUAUUUAAUUUGACUUGACAAUGGGGUGCCUUGGCUACCCACUUGGAAAUAGGUUGGGCUUCUCACCUUUAAGUCUCAUAUUUGUCUGGGGGAAAUUGCAAGAUAGUUCUUUUAAAUUUCAAAGGUUUUGAUAUUUGGGAAAAUACUGCUUCCUUGACUAUAUGCAUGGCACACCAGUAACAGGCUUCCAAAAUGUAACCACGCAAGUCCCGCUCUACUCAGACUUUUUAAAAUGCAUUGAAACCUACUGACCUCUGGUGGAGUGGUUGUGGCAAGCAGGACAGGUACAUUCAGCCUUUCUGGUAUGCGGUUUAUUUUCUUAUCUCGAAUGUUCUGUCUAAAGUUUUUUUCUCAUAGUAAUUGGUAUUUACUCCUCUCUAAACCUCAGGACCCACUCACAAGUGCCACAACUAAAUGCGCAGCUAAAAUUGCAUUGGCAAGCCAAAGAGCCACAGCGGAACUGUGGCCGGAUAGUAAACAACCCCAGUAUGUCCACAUUUAUCUGCAAAAUCAGCAAAGCAAGGGAUAAAAUGACUGCUGUAGUUCACGAUACCCCCAAAACAUUUAAUAAAAUACAGGAUUCUUGCCUCUCUUUCCCUCAUUUUCUCUAGCCAAUUUCUCGACUUUUCUUCUCUAAUUGUCUUUAUAUGCACCUUCCUGUCAUUUUUUUUUUCUAGUUUUCCUGGGUGUAUUGUUACUUCAGUCAAUCACUUAUAUCCAAGUACACCAUUUAUUGAUUCUGCCUGUAUUACUUAUGCUGCCAUUAUUGUUAAUGAAUAUAUUCUCCUAUUUUCAUUUAUGGGGCUUUUUAUUGAAUUUACAAAAAAGGAGAAUGUGAAAGGUUAAAAUAUCCUGUAUAAAGACAGAUCAAAACAAUAUAUAAAGUUUUAUUCCUGGAGUUGAGCUAAAAUAAAAGCCUGUGGAAAAGGGUAGACUUGGCCAGGCUUUCAGAAAAUUGAUGGAUUGUGGCUUUUUCCAAGCCAGCUAUGUUGGUUUAUAUUUUGCAAUUAUCAACUCAUGUGUGUUUGGUUUGCUUCGAAAUCUUUCAAUUUAUUUUUCUACAUACCAUUCUCUGUUUGGAAGCGGGCCCUUUGGGUAGUUAGGUCAUUGAGAAGACGUUGAUGUUCAUCAUCCCUUGCCUUCACUUCACUGAGUUGGUCUUCAAGCACACGGUUCACUUUUUCAAGGUUGGCCUAGAAGGAAAAUUGUUAAUAUAAUAACUUGCACAGUUAUAGAUCAUAAAAAAUAAGUGUUCCCAUCUAACCACUUACCUUGGAUUUGGAGACAUUUUCGAGAUUGCUGGCGAGAUCAUCAAUCUCCAUUUUCAGCUCACUCUUUUCUUUCUCCAGCUUCUGCUUAACACGUUGUAGGUUAUCAAUUUGUUCCCCAAGUUCAGCAACACUGUCAGCAUGCUUUUUGCGCAGAGUAGAGGAAGUAGCUUCAUUCUGAAGGGUAGCUUCCUCCAAGUCACGUCUCAGUUUCUGGAACUCAGCUUCACGCUUCUUGUUCAGCUCAAUUUGAGCAGAAGUAGCACCUCCAGCCUCUUCAAGUCUCUCACUGAUCUCUUCAAGUUCUCUGGAGAGAUCAGCCCUCUGUUUCUCAACCUUGGCACGAGCUGCACGUUCUGCUUCAAUUUCCUCCUCAAGUUCUUCAAUACGAGCCUAGAACACCAGAAGUAAAUGUUGUAGGGAAAACGCAAUGUAGCUCACAGGAUUACGAAACAGACUCGCACAAACAUACCUGAAGUUCUUUGAUCUUCUUCUGCAACUGAGAUCCCAGGGACUGCUCGUCUUCUAUCUUUGACUGAAGCUGACUUAUUUCAAAGUCCUUCCUGCGUGUUAACAGAAAAUAUAAUGGCUUUUGUUAAACCGCUCUAAACAAAUAGGUUUUAAAACAAAAGAAACAAAUAUUAACAAUAACGACUAACUUCUUGACUUUUUCAUCAGUUUGCUGUUUGUCAUUUUCAAGAUCCAUGACUGUUUCCUGGGACAGCUUCAGAUCACCCUCAAGCUUCCUCUUGGCUCUCUCCAGAUCAAGACGGAGUUUCUUUUCUUGUUCUAGAGAUCCUUCAAGCUAUAAGGAGAGAUAAAUCACGUUGUAUUACAAUGGUUACAAGACAAUAGCAAGACAAUGUUUUAGAACAUAAUGUUCCAUUUCCACUUGUACGUACGUCAUCUACUUGCUGUUCUAGCUUAGUCUUGGCUUUUGUCAAACUGUUGACUUUGUCCUCUUCAGCUUGCAGAUCAUCAAGUGUUUGUUGGUGAGCCUCUUGAAGGGCUUUCUUCUCCUUGCUAACUUUGGACACAUUCUCAUCAAGGACUGCAAGUUCCUCAGUGAGGUUUUUAACCUAAACGUAUAUCAAAAAUUGUGAUUCAAAAUAUAUAAUGCAAGCUUAUUAAGCAUUAAGUAACAAAAGGGUUAUCUUUAUUAGUCUUCGCACCUUGUUUUCUGUAGCAUGUUUUUCCUUUUCUACUUUGGCCAAUGUAAGCUCCAAAUCAUCAAUAUCUUUCUUCAGCUCAGAGCAUUCAUCCUCCAGUUUCCUUUUCUUAGCUGUAAGUUCAGCAUUACUUUCCUCUUCAUCUUCAAGUCUCUCUGUGAUCUCCUUGAUUUUAGAUUCCAGUUGAAUUUUGUUCUUGAUGAGGCCUUCACAUCUUUCCUCUGCAUCAGCCAGAGUCUCACCUUCCUGUAUUGGAAAUAUAAUGUAUUUUUAGAAUAUUUGACUUUACUGUUUAGAUAUACUCUGUUUAUAUUUGUAUGUUCUUACCGACUGAACUUGCAGGAGCAAAUCAUUCUUCUCCUGAAGCAGGGAAACCAUUUUCUCUUCCAGUUCCUUCUUCUUGGCUUCUGACUUUACCAAAGCUUCCUUGGUCUUCUCAAACUCUUCUUUCAUGUUUGCCAUCUCCUUCUCAGUCUCAGCACUCUGCAGGAGAGGUUUGAUCUUGAAGUACAGUUUCAUCCAAGGCCAGUGUUUGACAUUCAUGAAUGACCUCACAUUGUACUGGAUGAUGUAGAUUGCUUCCCUGUAUAAUAGAUGUACAGAAGCUAAUGAAGAGCUUGGUGUAAGAAAAAAGACUUAACACUAAAAAAAAUUACGUAAAUGUUACCGUCUCUCAAUCAUCUUCUUGAACUCUGUUCUCAUCAAGAAACCUCUGCAAAGAGCUUGAGUGCAAGUAAUAAGUUGUGCCAACUUUUCAUCUCUCAUCUCUUCCAGGGUACCCAGAAGACCAGCUUUGAAGAACACCUGCAUAGGAGAGAAAACAAUUAUAGUAUUCUCUAAAACAUCAAUAUAGAUGUUAGUAUGUAAUGUUCCAGUGUCUUCAUACCUUAGUGUGGCCAAAUUUGUACUGAGUGUGAUCAACAUCAAUGGAGCCCAGAAGUUUCUCAGAAGCCUUCUUGCUGUCAACAAACUGCCCGUCUGGAAUAACGCUGGCAUUCAACACUUUGUAACUUUAAAAAACAAUUUUAGGUUUAAAUUCAGGGUAAAUGUUUAAUUUUAUAAACACAAUUUUUACUAGUUAAAUGGGUUUUUUUUUUUUUUUUUAGCACAUACUUGUAAAACAAAUACUUAUACUUUUAAGUUAUCAAUUUAUUUAAAGUUAUUCGUGAAAGAUACCGUUGUUUGAAGUCAGCAUAGAUGAUUCUGCUAGGGAAUCCUUUCCUGCAAAUUCUGAUACCCUCCAACACACCGUUACAUCUCAACUGGUGGAUGAUCAGAUGGUUUUCCAUGAUACCUGAAGGAGUUUAAAUAUGGUCAUUGUUUAAGGUGGACAACAUCCCAACAGUGAAAUACACUGUUCUCUUCUCAUAUAAAUGUAUUCAUAAUGGAAAUUUACCUGGAGUUUUGGACUCAUUAGGAAUCAAACAACGCACAAAGUGAGGGUGAGUGCUUCUCAAGGUGCUCAUCAGUUUGUUCAGAUUUUCCUGAAACAGAUAUGGAAAAUAUGUAAUUCAAUGUGACGUCUGAUGCUUAAAGUGGGGUAGAAAUAAAGCUACACUUAUUAUAAAAAAAGAAUACUAAUAAAUGUCCAGAUUUGUGUAAAGUAAACAAUAUAAAAUGUACAUACUCUGAACAAAGCAGACACAGUCUGGAAGGAGCCUCCCUUCUUCUUCUUUCCAGCGCUCUUUGCAGCAUCUAUUGUUUAAGAUUAAUGGUAGUUAUGUGUUAAACUAAUAAACGAUAAUGUGGAAGCAGUCACUAAUAUUGCAUGAUACAUCUUUUAAUACCCACCAUCAGUAGCUGAGUAGCUGGAGUAGAGUAAGGACAACAGUUUCACUGAAGACUUCUGGUAAAGCUGAACAACAGAAUCGUUCAGUGGGUCCUUGUUCUUGUCCAGCCAGCCACUGAUAUUGUAGUCCACAGUACCAGCAUAGUGGACCAGAGAGAAGUGAGCUUCAGCCUUUCCCUUGGCAGGCUUGGGCUUCUCAAAGUUCUUGCACUUGCCAAGAUGCUGUUCAUACAGUUUGUUCUUGAAGGAUGUGUCAGUGGCUUUGGGGAACAUGCACUCCUCUUCAAGGAUUGAGAAGAUGCCCAUGGGCUGAAAAUGUACAUAUCAGUGAGAAUUUCAUACAUCUUAACCUGUGUUUCCACAGCACAACUUCCCUGGAUUCAUUUUUGGAACCCACCUUCUCAAUGAGUUCAAUGCAGGCAGCCAGAUCCAUACCAAAGUCAAUGAACUCCCAAUCAAUGCCUUCCUUUUUGUAUUCUUCCUGUUCCAGGACGAACAUGUGGUGGUUGAAAAACUGCUGCAGCUUUUCAUUGGUGAAGUUGAUGCAGAGCUGCUCCAAGCUGUUGAACUGUAGACGACAUAAUUGUUGAAUAAAAUGUACUUGGGUUUUAAGUUAUAAAAAUAUAUUUGACAAAGUUUGAAAUAAAUGUUCACUUACAUCAAAGAUUUCAAAACCAGCGAUAUCCAGCACACCAAUGAAGUACUGUCUUGGCUGCUUAGUGUCCAACUGUUGGUUGAUACGUAUGACCAUCCACAAGAACAGCUUUUCAUACACUGACUUGCACAGGGCACCAACUGCGUUGUUACACUGAAUGGAACAGACAUAGCGUGAGCCUCUGCACAGAACUGCAGACACCUGAACAAUAAUCAACUGAACACUGGAAACAUAAUUACCUGUGCGACAGUCUGUCCUUUGGUGACAUAUUCAUUGCCGACCUUUACUCUUGGGUAGCACAGAGCUUUCAGCAUAUCGGCAGAGUUCAAACCCAUCAAAUAUGCAAUUUUAUCAGCAACUACAAGUUCAAAAUAAAAUAAUUGUAUACAUAUAUUGGAAACCAGUUUCAUCUAUGUUAAGCAGAGAUUAGGUUUCUAAUUUAUAUCCGUAGCAGUUGUACUGAGAUUUUUUUCAUUGAACACUAAAGACAAACCUUCAGUGCCGUCAGGCUCGGCCUGCUCCUCUCUCUGCUUUUGCUUGAACUUCAGGUUGCCAUGGUGCAUGACAGCUCCUGUAAGUUUGUAGAUACCAAUCUUUUCUUCUGCGGUGAAACCCAGGACAUCAAUGGCACUCUGUAGGAUGAGAAAGGACGUUUGAAAUUAAAAACCGGCAUUCAGAACAGAGUUACAAUGUUGUUGCUCUAACAACUUCAGAACUUACAUCAGUAGCCAUCAAUUCAUCUUCAUCAUUAAUACUCUUCACAACAAUCUCACCCUGGCUGAUGGAAGGAAAGUCGUAUGGGUUGGUUGUGAUCAGAAGUGUUUCUAAAGAAAAAGACGUGUUGCACAUGUGUAAAAAUAAAACAUUACACAUGCAAUCUCUACAACAUUGUAAGUAGGUCUUAACUGUCUCAGUUAUAUUCUGUCUGUCUAUAAUUAUGGAACCAAAUCAGAACCUGGUUAUUUGUUCAUUGGAGAAUAAAAAAAUGUUGUUCAAUUACCAACAAGUUCUGGUUUCUUGUUUGUCAUGAUCUGAUAGAAGAUAUGGUAGCUUCUUUCAGCAGACAGCUGGAAGGUAACUCUGGAUUUCUCUAGCAAAUCUGUUCAAAUAAAAGCCAAUAUAAGAAAUAUGAUAUAUCCCAUUUAUAAAUAAAGAUAAAUUAAUUUGCAAUAUAUUCCUUACAUGUUUCAAUAUCAGCUGAGGACAGUUUUCCGGUGGUGCCGAAGUGAAUUCUGAUGAAUUUACCCUAAAUACCACAGUGAGAGUUUAGUACGCUUGGUUAACAAAUGGGGAAACAUAUAGAUGGUAACAUGAAAAUAUCUAUUGCCCAACAAAAACUUACAAAACGAGAGGAGUUGUCAUUUCUCACGGUCUUGGCAUUACCGAAAGCUUCCAGCAGAGGGUUAGCCUCAAUGAUUUGAUCUUCCAGAGUACCCUGUCAUACAGGAGUAAAACUUGUUAAUUUGGUGAAAUUUGUAUUUGCACAUUUAUAUCUUAUCCUACACAUGGAGAUAGAAACAUUGCAUUAUGCAUAGAUGUACUAAAUCUACAGUAAAAAUGUUCUGCAUCUUGUUCUGGAUCAGCAGAAUAUUUGUUAAUGAAGAUGUGGAGGGGUUUGGUAUCUGUUUUCAACCUAGUUAACAACAUAUGAAUAGAAGUCAAGUAAGUGACUUCUCAGUAGCAUGACACCAGUGGACAGAGAGUAAUGUAUAGCAGAUUAGAUAUGCUUUGAUUAUUUUGGUUCUUUAACUAUGUAUUAAUAAUCCCAAUAGCUGUAUUACCUUCAAGCUGUUAGCUGGCUCCUUUUGUUUGCCUUUCUCUCCAAUAGCCGCAAUUGUUGCAAAAUACUGGAUGACACGUUUUGUGUUCACAGUCUUUCCGGCACCAGAUUCUCCACUAUGGAUAAAGAAGAUUAAAAUAUAGAACGUCUAGAAAAGCUGAAGAAAUGACUAGAACUUGAAAGAUACAAUGACAAUAUACUGACAAAGUACUUACGUAAUCAGGACAGACUGAUUGACACGAUCUGCAAACAGGAGAUGUGGAUUAAUAGAACAUUCAUAGUAUUACGUGUUGAUAAAUUAAGACUGUUAACAUGAAGAAAAGGUCAGAUACCUGUCAACAUGGACUGAUAAGCGUUAUCAGAGAUGGAGAAGAUGUGUGGUGGGGCUUCCAUACGUUUCUUCCCUCUGUAACCAGCAACCACCUCAGGGUUGUACACUGGGAGCCACUUGUAGGGAUUCACAGUGACGCAGAAAAGGCCACUGUAGGUCUAAACGGCCAACAAAACAAAUAUUAAUUUAUAUAUAAGAGGACUACUUUUAGCAUCUUUUCACAAUAAAGCAUCCGUAAAUAUUUUACUGUCAAGCUGAUAAUUUAUUUUAAUAUAUUGUAAGGGGAACUGAGUAAAUCUAGGAGGCCCAUUUCUAACUCCAGGCAUGGAUUUUACUAUACAAAAGAAAUGACAUAUACAUUAGCAUUUUUAAUUUAAAUGUUGUAAAGUUGUAUCAUUGUGAUAUACCUAUGUCACUCUUGUUUCAUUAUUUCCAUUAAAUAGUUUAAGUGGGGGGCACACUAUCUACUUAAACUGUUUAUAUGGAGAAAGAGACCAAACUUACGUAGAUCAUCCAUGCUGCGUAACGUUCUUUGAGGUUAUACAACACAGAGGCUUCAUUCAAAUGGGUCAUCAUGGCCAUAUCUUCAAUUUUGUCAUACUUGGGGGGAUUUUGAGGGUAAACUUGGCUGUCUUUAACAGUUACAGUCUAGAAGAAAGAGAGGCAUAUCUCAGUUAAGGUCUCAAUUCACAGUAAUUAACAGCUGGUAUGAUAAGUAAUAGAAUUUUAUAUUUACCCUUCCAUCAUCAGUUUUCACUGUGAUUUUGCCAUCUUCACGAGCUGUGACUAGACCUUUCACGUACAGCUCUUUUUGGUCAUCUACGAAGCAGGUGUUCUUGGCAUCGAAUGGCCUAUUCUGGGCUUCCAAUCGUUCUUUGUCAGAUUUACGGAGAAACUGGGCAGCCUCUCCGAAACAGGCCAUCUCCCCGUCACCCAUGAUUGCUGGUGUCUACAAAAUACACAUAUCUUAAAUUAAACUCUACUUUACCCGGACGUACAAACAAAUGUUAAAGUAUUAAAUUUUCCCUCCUCAGCAGUAUUGAUUUCCACACUUCCAAAGUUGAACCGUUUAUUUAGCAUAGAUGCACUCCCUUUAAGAAAACCGGUGAAAUCUUCCUAAUUCUUACAAGAAAUAAUUCUUAAAUCUUGGGCACACACACAUAGGCAUUUGAGCUAGGAGCCAUGUGAAAUAAAUAUAGCUAUUUCCUGAAAUACAUUAUUGCUACAAAGAAAAAUUUAUUACAGAGAAAGAUGAUUCAAAUGUUGAAGGAUCUAGGGUCUACUUUCAGCAAAGCCGUGACUUCCUGGCCCCAAAAAAAAAGUGAAUUCACCACCAAGUUAUGCAUUAAGAGGAAAAAAAAAUUCUCCCACCCACCUGUUAAGGCUUAAAUGUUGCAAACUGUUUCACAAGUCCCUUUUAGUUAAUAAAUGGGCGAGUAUUCACUCCCCUACACUGUUUGUUCUACUUUUGUUGUUUAACUUGAUGAUAGUGGGCUUAACACUAAAUUCUAAACUAAAAGUCCCGUAAAUUUAAAAGAAGAUUGCAAAAUUGAGACCUAAUAAUUUGAUUUAGAAAAAUUCUCAAUUUUGGCUUGGCUAUAUAACCCCUAAAGUGUGGAAUUUGUAUUUCAGUUUGUAAAGUAUACAGAGUAUUUCAAAUAUUGUAAUGUGACCCCUAUGGUGUCAGAACAUUUUGCAAAAUUUCCGUAUGAAUUACCCUAGGUAGCUUUUUAAGAUAAGAGAAUAUGAAUCUCUAAAAAAAAAAAAACCCAAAAAACAUGAGUUGAUUUCCCUGAGUCCUAAACAGUGAUGGAUCGCCACCUAGAGGGCUUGUGGUAAAGCACUGUAGAGUGAAAUAAUUAAUUUGUGUUUUAAUUUAUGGAGCCUAAUUUUAACUUGAAAAUUACAAAUUAAGAUUUCAUUUUCAAAGAAUACACCUUACUUUUUAAUUUUAAAUAAUGUGCAGUUAAUCCAGUUAAGUUUUUGCCUUUCUUGGUUAUGUUAAUAUUUUAAGUUAAAACCGUUAUUGUGAAAAAACAAACAAAAAAAACUUGUAUAAAAAGUGGGUCCAUAGGCUCAUGGGGCUUAUACACGAAACAGUUAAAUGCAGCAUAAUGAGUUCCAGAACUUGGGUGCCAAAGCAGCAUUGUUUUAAUCAGUCUGAAGCCCCACUGAAAUGAACUCCUCCCUCCCCCUGCCAGUUACAUUAUUUUUGCUAAUUAGUUGACUCUGUGUUAACUGGAUUAUAUUAAAUUUCCUAUUACUGAUUAUUGGUUGCUCCUUUAGCUGAGGGAUUUAAAAUAGAGUAAUGUUUAAUAUUUACCUAUAUAAUAAAUAUACUCCAUAAUAAAAAAUAUUAUAGGGAGUGACACUCACAUCAUUUCAUUGGGCAUAAACUGAAAUACAAUAUUAAAAGGACUUUACAAGUAAAAUAUAUUAAAUAUAAACAUUCUCUGUUCAUACUAUAUCAAAUGAAACCUUAACUAUUAAGCAAUGAUUCCAUAUAUUUGGACUGUAAGCUUGCUUGAGCAGAGUCCUCUUCAACCUAUCGUUCCUGUAAGUUGUCUUGCAAUUGUCCUAUUUAUAGUUAAAUCUCCCCCUCUUAUAAUAAUGUAUAGCGCUACGAAAUCUGUUGGCGCUAUAUAAAUGGCGAUAAUAACAAUAAUGUUUCAAGGCACUAAAUUAUUUAUAUAUGUAUUUAUAUAUUUAUAUAGCAUAAUUAUCCUAAUUUAGCCCCUUUUUUUACAAUGCUAAGCUUUGUAGAACUUACGUUUUAUUUCAGAUUUUGACAGGGGGGGGGAAUAAAACAGUUGGAACCUGGAAUUGAAAAAAAAAAGAAAAGGAUAAUGAUUACAAUUUAAGACAUGGAAGAUAUUUCAAUAAAUACCAAUUAAGUGCACCCCCAAUCCACCCUUCUCACAACCAAAGCCUAUCCAGUUCUCCAUCCCUUACUUUAAGGACUUUUAUCCAAGCCGCCCCAUGCUUCUAGAACUCCUAAUCAAAUUAAUUCUCACUUUAUAUUUACAUCUUUUCAUCUUUAACCUCUCCCUUAAGAGGCAUCUAACUAUGAACGUAAAAGUCAUCCCUCAACCCAACACUAAAGGCUCCACAAUAAAUACAAUCUAGCUUUGACUUCUUCAUUUUUAUUAAUGUAUUGCUCCCUUUAGUCAAUAUAUCAAGCUUUGCAGACGAUUUCUAGUGAUACAUAAAUUAAUUACAAUAAGUUAUAUGGUAAACUACACAUGACUUAACUCAAUGUCCAUAAGAUAUUUAUUUUGUCACUCUAUGUCCAAUGUAUCUUUUAGAAGCUACAAAUUCUCCCCCAAGCAACCCACAACUUUGCUUACCUACAAGGAAGACCUAACCAACUGGCAACUCUCAUUAAAGCUUAUAUAGGACACUAACUGCCCUCUCAGCUCAAUCUACUUAAAGGCAUGGGCGUUUCCAUUGCCUUAACUGUGCAUGUAAGCCAAAAGCUAUCCAUUCGUCAGAUGUAAAAAUAACUCACAAUUCAGUCUGGAAAUAACCCAGGAUAAAGCAUGUUACUACAAUUUGCAAUCAAUACCAAAGACUAGGGUUGUCUUUCACUCUGAGACACGGUCAUAUAACUCCAAAUCGAAGAACUAAACUGUGGAAGUAACACUAUGCCAUGUUUAAUAAACACAUGUUAAGUGUUUAUUAAAUACAAUUACCACCUAUCAUAAAUCUGAACUACAUCUACUCACUAAAACACAACUCAACCUAGCUAUUCUAUGAGACACAGAUAAACAAAUGUCAAUGGUAAUAAAAUUUAGACAGAAAUUUAACAAAUAGAAUUGGGCAUUUGGAAGAUCUUUGGACUAAUGCAUUAAUGUUUUUUUCUCAUGGGUUUUAUAAACAGAUCUUAGCAAUACAGAUAUAAUAAAAAAAAAAUUAGGAUGAUUAUGAAAUUGUAUAAAUAAUUUUUUUUUUUUAAACAAAAAUUUUUUAUUCAGUUGUUUGUUUUUGAAAAAUUUAAACAGGGAAAAAAAAAGCCAUAAAUAUAUUAAACUAUAAAAAUAGCCCAGGGGUACCACAAUAAAUUAAUAUUAAUAUUCUCCUGUGCUAUUUGCACUAUACAGGCAAAUGCAUUUUCCAUGCUUUUAUUACUAAUAAUUUACUUUAUUUAUUUUAGAAAUGCAUUUGCGGUUUAGCUAGUGGUGAGUAAUAUUUUAAUAUUUCUAAUAUUUCUUUAAUAAUAGUUAUAUUUUUAUAGUUGUAUUAUAUUAAUAUUGUUACUUUUUUCCGUGUUAUGACUAAUUUUUUUGUCUUCUGUGCCGAAUAGCUAGUAUUUAAUAAUGAUAAUUAUUUUCUCAGCAGCCUUCAGUUUUGUUUUAAUUGUGUGUAGCUGCAUUAAGAGCAUGCCAUAUAUUAUUAUUUACAGCCCAGAAUUCUCAGAAAAUUAUAUUUAUGUGCAGUCCAGAAUUUAAAAAAAAAACUAUAUAUAUUUAUAUACACACACACACACACACACGUGUGUGUGUACAUAUAUAUAUAUAUAUAUAUAUAUAUAUAUACACACUAUUUUCUUCCUUUUUUGUGUGUGUGAAAAUUAACAUUUAUUCAAACCACCGACUAUGGCAACAAACUAAUCUGUGAAAAAAUAAGAGAUAACCUUUUCAAAUUUAAUAAAAUAUGGCAUAUUGUUCUAUAUAAUUAAUCUAGUUUAGAAUGGAAUUAUUUAUUUUUUGCUUCAAGUUUAGGGCUAGAAAUUUUAAGACGAAAGCUCCUUUGCCAGUAUAUCAGAACAAAACCUAUUAAUAUUAUAGUACAACAAAGAACUAUCUAUUUACUGUGCACUUCCUUCUCGACAAAAUUAAGUAGACACAGAAAGCAGAACGUAAAAAAAAAGAUUCAUUGCCGUAUACGUUGCUGGGUGAGUGUCGGGGACAACUGGGAUUUUUGUUUUGUAACACUCCCCCACUGGACUGGAUAUGAACCCUGAGUACAAUUUACCAGAAUGCAAUGUUUCAUAACUGAUUAAAAGUUCAUCAAUAACUGUUGUAUGAAAAGAAACAUACCAAGACAAAUUCAAGAAUAUUUUUUAACUUCUAUAUAUUUUGUUUUUUUCUUUGAUAAAAAAAGUUGAACUUAAUUUGAAGGUUUACAUUUCUUUAAAGGUUACGGUAACACCACCCUGCAUUGUAUUGUUCUAAAACCAAUCCUCUGUGGAAUUGAUACACUUUAAUGCUGGUUACACCACUUUAUUUUAUGUGUCUAGGAAAUUGGUUGAUAGAUUUUAAAUUUUUUUAUUUUUUUUUAAAUAGAUGUUUAAAAAUGUAGCGAUCAUCAUGAUGGGUCUGACUGCAAAGUCUUGUUGAAGACAGAAUCUCUCCUCUGUUCAGUUCAGUAGAAACAGUGUGUUCUUUUUUUUUUCUUAAUAUUUUUGGACAAUUAUGUGUUUGUACAAUUCUGCUAUCACAAAGUAAUCGUCCUGUGUUCAUGCAUCUUGUUCGCAGUUUUUGAACCAGACCAGACAAGCGCUUGAGAUGAAGGUUGAGACACUGAAUUCUGGUGGUGCUGGAGUGAUGAGACCAGUUAUGCAGACGCCUGUCGGUUCACAAGAUAGUGAAGUUCUUUCUUAUUUUAACAACGUUUUGUGUGUAAAACAGUCUCUAUUUGCAGGUCACUGUAUCUAAAGCAGCUCUGUCACUUAUCCAAUUUGUUCCGUAAUAAUGAAAUCUGAUGACCCCAUACAGACUGCAUUAUGGGGAAACCUUAUUUUUGAGAACAUGUGGGAAUUGGUGUUAUUUCUUGCUAAUCAACCCGUCUUGAACAGCAGGGAUUUCUUAACGCUUAGAUGGUCGCCCAGAAGUGACUACAAUCAGUACUGAGCUUCCUAUCUGGAAGGAGCACAGCAGCUUUGGGGUACAUCACAGGUUUGGGGGUUACUGCCUAGAAUGUUCUUUGUGGAUUUUCUGACAUUUGAGAGCUCAGAGGCUGACAGGUAAAAUGUCUGCCCUGAAUUGCAUACCUGACCCCAGAGGGGAUGAAAAGCAGCAAUUGGGAAACUUUCUGAGCUGAAUUUGAACAUUAUUCCCUGGCUAUAGGGUCGAAGGAGAAAUCUGCAGCAGGGCAGGCAGACACUCUGAGAAGCGACAUGGGCAGUGAAUGUUACUAUGUUUCUAAACACAAUCUGAAUCUCACAGCAGAGCAUAAGGAGAAUGUAGCUCACGGGGCAAGACGACCAGAAUGAGCGUUAACAGGGGGCUGAUUAGGGCUAAGCCGUUUAGAUGUUAGUCUAUGCGUAAAGGGAGGAGUCAUUGGGCAGUGGUAGUGGUCAGUUUGGAGGGGUCAGUGGCCAUUUUAGCUUUAGAUAAUUAACUGUGUUGUAUUUUUAAUUUACUACAUAAGUUUAGCCCGAUCGUCAAAGGUACAGCUGUCGUUUAGCAAAUGUUUGUAGACACAUUGGAAUUUUACUUCAAAUCUGCUAAAAAUGUCAUAUGUGAAAGGUAUGUGUUUGGAUGCUGGAAACGGGAAGAGGGAGAAUCUCUUGAUAAAUUUGUUACACGCUUGAGCGAAAAAGCUGCAAAAUGUGAAUAUGGUUCUCUGAGGGAUGAACUAAUAAGGGACCAUAUUGUUCCUGGUGUAGCUAGUAAGAGCUCACGCAGGCAUCUCUUAAGAUAACAUGAAUUAACUUUAAACACAGCCAUUGAAAUGUGCCGUACAGCAGAGCACACUGACAGAUGUAUGGAAGUUAUGGAACAGGACAGACAGCAGACCGACAGCAUCAACAUUGCAGUGCAGUGACAACACAUUAGCAAACAGCAACAACACUGCCAGAUUAGCACAAAUCCUGCAGACCAUACAGCGUGCAAAGAUUGUGGGACUGUGCAUCAAAGAAUUAAAGAGCAGCGUCCUGCUUAUGGGAAGUCUUGUGGGGGGACAAAUCAUUUUGCUAACGUAUGUUUGUCAAGUAAAAGACAGCCAUCAAUUGGAACGUUACACUCCCUGGGGAACACAUCUGCAUACGAGGAAGAGCCCCACACUGCUGAAGUGAUAUACAGCAGUGACUUGAUCUGCUCUGUGCGGCCAGAGGAAAGAAAUGGUUUGUCACUUUAACUUUAAAGGGAAACUAUAGGCUAGGAAUUCAAAAUUGAAUUCCUAGCACUAUAGCUCUCUAUAGUGUCCCCUCGCUUGCGCUACUCCGACUGCAGCGCAGGCCCCUUCUAUCACUUACUUGAAUCCAAUGUCUCUCGGCGCUGGGUCAGGCUCUGCCUUGGCUCCUCCUUCCCCAACGCUGGCCGACGUCAGGGACCUAACGGGCAUGCACGGCGAGCGCCGCAAGCAGAUUUAAACAGCCCCAUGGGAAAGCAAUGUAUAAGCUAGACCUUGGGGUUUAUUUGCCACUGCAGGACUGGAUGAUCUGUGGCAUAUUCACCAGAAAUGAAUUUCUCCUUGUUAGGGCUAAAUAUUCACUCGCUAGGGACGAGUGGAAAUUUUUUGCCUUCACAGUGAUAUUAUUACUGUAUGAGUCCUCUUUCACUAUUUAUAAUCUGUAUUAACUCACAGGAUCCUACAUUUAUUUGUUUUCGCAGGACCUCUGUGAGUACAACCUUGUGAGUUCUGUUCGGCCUGUCACACUGGAAUGUUAGACUAUAUGUUUUGGUUCUACUGCUCACAUCUCUGCAGAUGAGACAAGAGGGUCACUAAUGGACCCUGAAAAUGCUUCUGCCGUCUUUGGUAAGUCCUAUAUCAUUUACUGAUAAGUAGUUCAUCAUAUGUGUGCACAGGAUCUGAUAUUAUUUAACCCCUUCCUGACGUGGACGUACCAGGUAAAUAGGAGCCCUGGACCGGUGAUGUGUGGCGGUCGGGGUCGGGGGAGGGGGGGGGUUGGGGACUGAAAUCUUCUUCCUGCGACCUCUUGGUUUCUGCAGGGAAUAAGUUUAUUGGCAUUUUUUUCUCUUGCUACCCCUAGGGUCACAGCAAGUAAACCCCCAGUCAGUAAGGGGGUACCUUCGGGGGGACACUUUUGCGCAGGGCUGUGUACUGAAGCUUCCCAAGGAAGACAGGCUGAACUCCCUUGGGGACAGAAGGUAAAGACCCUCAGGUAAGCCAAAAAGCAAAUUCCUCUAGUCCUGAAAUAGACUAAGUUUGUCUUAUAGGGAUAGGACAGGAACACAAACACUGAGGUAGGAGGGGGUAUUUGUACAUUUCUUUUUAAUAGUUCCUGUCUAAUUAGGGAUAGGGAUGAGCAACUCAUUGUUGGCUGCCAUGGAUAUGGCCUAUAUAUAUAUAUAUACACACACUCACUCACUCUUAUUUAUAUAUAUAAAUAAAACACACACAUUCUACAUUUGUAUUUAACUAUUAACUACAUAAUUAUUUGAUUUUAUUAAUUAAAGUUUGAGAGACCUGCCAGACAGUUUAAUUGGCAAGCCCCAUAUUUAACCCCGUAACUUUCAAAAACACCAUAAAACCUUUACAUGGAGGGUAUUGUUAUACUUGGGAGACUUCACUGAACACAAAUAUGAGUGUUUGUUUUAAAAAGUAAAACUUACUACAAUGAUUAUAUCACCAGUAAAAGUGCAGUGUUUUGUUUAAAAAACAAAAAACAAAACGCUAAAUUUGCUCAGCGUUUGUGACUAAGUGCCUACUACAAAAGACUGGAAAUGCCCCAUUUUGAAUACCCUGGGUUGUCUACAUUUGACAAUGGUAUGCCAUGAUGAGGUUAAUUCACAUUCCUGAGCUACCAUAUGGUCUUAAAAGGCUACAUAGACCCAGCAAACCAAUCUGGCAAACUGAAUUGGGCAAGCCGUAUAUUGACCCUGUAACUUUUCAAAACACCAUAAAACCUGUGCAUGGGGGUAUUGUUAUACUCGGGAGACUUUGCUGAACACAAAUAUGAGUGUUUUAAAAAGUAAAACUUAUCAUGACAAUGAUAUGACCAGUAAAACUGCAGUUUUUGUUUUAAAAAAUGCAAAAAACAAAUAAAAAAUGCUAACUGUGGCCACCGUUUGUGACUAAGUGGCUACUACAAAAGAAUACCCUGGGUUGUCAACAUUUGAAAAUGGUAUGCCACGGUGGGGUUAAUUUUCAUUUCUGGGCUGCCAUACUGUCUCAAAGGGAACAUAGCCAAUCUGGCAAAUAGCAAUUUGCAAAACUUGAAAUUGGCAAGUCUUAUGUUUGACCCGGUAACUUUCCAAAUCAAAAUAAAACCUGUACUUGAGGGGUACUGUUGUACUCGGGAGACUUCGCUGAACACAAAUAUGAGUGUUUUAGAGCAGUAAAAUGUAUUAUACUGAUAAUACCAUCGGUGAAAUGGGAGCUUAUGUGUGAAAAACAAAAUACCUAAAUGCUAAUUUUGGCCAUGGUUUGUAACUAAGUGGCUACUAAAAUGACUGGACAUACCACAUUUUGAAUACCAUGGGUUGUCUACUUUUACAAAUGGUAUGCCAUGAUGGAGUUAAUUUCGAUUCCUGGGCUGCCAUACGGUCUCAAAGGCAACAUAGUCCCUGCAAACUAAUCUGGCAAAUUUCAAUGUGCAAACAUGGAAAAGAGGAAAGCCCUACGUUUGACCCCUGUACGUUUGCAAAAACCCAUAAAACCUGUAUAUUGGGGGCAUUGUUGUACUCAGGAGAUGUUGCUGAACACAUAUUGGAGUGUUCUUUGUCAGUAACACAUAACAGGAGCUGAGAAUCCAUGCCUAAAGUACAAUGUGAGAGAAAAAUAACUCAAAAAAUGACUACCCAAAAGUUUGACAAAGACUGGUGGUAGAAUUAGUGCAUCGAAAGUGUUAAAAUUCCACAAUUUGAAAUACCCUAGGGUGUCUACUUUUCAAAAAUAUAUGGUUUCAUAGGGGUAAAUUACAUUGGCCGGCUUACAAAAUGUCCCAAAUAGGACAUGGGUGCACGAUGACCAGCUGUGAAAAUUCCAAGUUGGAAAACUGGAAUGCGCACCCUGAAAUAAGGUAUUUUAGCCCCCAGAGAACCGGACAUACCUAUACAUGGGUGGUAUCACGGUACUCAGGAGAUGUCACUGAACACAUAUUGGGGUGUUCUUUGGCAGUAACCCUUAAAGUUCUCAGUACACGUAUUCUUAAAUUGCUAUGUGUAUCAAAAACAUCACCAAUUAUUAUUAUUUUUUUUAAAUUUGGCAUAGAUUGGUGGUAAAAUGGUUUUAUGAAAAGAAUUAAAAUAUCCCAAGUUUUAUAUCAUAGGUUGUCUUCAUUAAAAAAAUAUAUACAUGUGAAGGGUUAUUCAGGGAUUCCUGACAGAUAUCAGUGUUACAAUGCAACCAUCGUUAAUUUUGGAAGAAAAUGGUUUGGAAAUAGCAAAGUGCUAUUUGUACUUAUAGCCCUAUAACUUUCCAAAAACGGCUAAGAACAUGUUAACGUUGGGUAUUUGUAAAAUCAGGACAAAAUUUAGAAACUAUUUAGCACAGGUGUUUUUGGCGGUUGUAGAUGCGUAACAGAUUUUGGGGGUCAAAGUUAGUAAAGGUGUUUUUUUUGUUUUUUUUUUAAUCAUAUUUUAUAAUUUUUUUCAUAGUAAAUUAUAUGAUAUGAAAAUAAUGGUAUCUUUAGAAAGACCAUUUAAUGGCGAGAAAAACCGUAUAUAAUAUGUGUGAGUACAGUAAAUGAGUAAGAGGAAAAUUACAGCUAAAUACAAACACAGCAGAAAUGUAAAAACAGCCCUGGUCCUUAACGGUAAGGAAAUUGAAAAACGGUCUGGUCACUAAGGGGUUAAAGGAAAGUGACAUUUUACCAGUAGUACCUGUUUUAAUUUUUGUCGUAUUGUUUUGGAAUUUACUAAUUUAUCCUGCUAGCUAUAUAGUGUUCUAGCUUUUAUUAUAUUUAUUAUUGGUAUUUAUAUAGCGCCAAUACAUUUACAAUACUAAAUUAUUGCAAUGUUAUUGUAUAGUUCCGUUUUCCUGUAGCAACAAGUCAGUAUCUUGGACCCUGAGAAAAGUUUUAAUUCAAGCAGACCUCAUUUUUUCGAGGGACAUUAUGUUCCAGCCUCUGAAACUGUAGAAUUAACAGUUUCACUGCUGCUGUAGGCAGGGCCGGCGCGCCCAAGCGUCCGAUUUGGGGAGCCAGAGUAGGGGGCGCAAAAAUCUGAAUCCCUUGCUUCUGGCUAGGGACUUGAACUUUUCCAAUCACUGCAGGCUACCUCACUCUCUAAUCCCUGAAGACCCAGCAAACAGCCAGUCUGGGUACCUCCUUCAUUGACCGGGAGUCUGAACCAACUCUGAAAGCGGACUAGUGCUUACGUGAGGCCAAGCUGGGGCUAGGCCUAAUUUAUAUUAAAGACUAGUAUAAGCACCUGAGUUUCUGUUUUUCCACUUGCUCUCAGUUGCUUACAUUAGGCUUCCUUCUAACAAGUAGACCACAUUUAGGAGGUUGGUGGUGAGCAUUUUUAUGGAUGACUGAUUUGAAGUACACACUUGUAUUUUAUGUGUUUAAAAGCUUGACUCUAAGUCCACAGACACGUUCUAUCAAUGCAUGUGGCAUUGAUUACUGUUACCUGUGUAUUUUAGCUUAUUUAAAUCGGCAUAUAAAACCUAGGUAGCCUCUCUGUAUGAUUUGGCGUGAAGACACAGCCUCGGUAUAUGUUACUGAUAUUAUCUCUGUAUAUGAGCUGGUGUGAAGUACAGCAUUAAUGGGUGUCCAUUAUAUGCUCUAUGUAUGAGGACACAACCUCAGUAUGUGUGUCCACUAUAUGCUCCAAGUAUGAGUUGGUGUGAAGCACAGCUUCAGUAUAUGUGUCCACUAUAUGCACCAUGAGUUACUGUAAGGACACAGCCUCUUAAUACACUUGUGUUCAAAGGUUUGCGUACCCUGGCAGAAAUUGUGAAAUGUUGGAAUUUAUUUUGAAAAUGGACUAAUCAUGCAAAAAAAAGGUAUUUUAUUAAAGGAUAGUGAUCAUAUGAAGCCAUUUAUUAUCACAUAGUUGUUUGGCUCCUUUUUAAAUCAUAAUCAUAAAAGAAAUCACCUGUUCCAAAAGUAACCUUGCCACUGGUAUUUGGAAGGGCCUGUUUGCCAGCCUCCUACCCUAUGACUAUGGCCCCUGUAUUAAAUCCUGAUUAAAACCACUGUGUGUGCCUUUUUGGACUUGCAUGACAACACUUUUCGAACUUUCGAAGCGGCACUUCGAAUUACCUAACAACCACAUGAACCAGAGACCACCCUGGAGCUUGUUAACAUCUAUUAACAACUUGGAACGUUUCUCACCGCAGUGUUCUAAUUGUUCGUCUGGGUGGCCGUAAUUCCUAUGGACAACCACGAGGUGGCGGCCAUCUUGUUCGCAUGAACGCAGGCAGCGGAGUUUGGGCAAGAAUCUCAUGGAACUAAAAUCAGAUACAGAAGCUCCCAAACACCGCUGGACUUCCAUCAUCGCUUGCGUUCGAUUCUAUUCAACUUAGAAAGGAACUGUUUGGUGAGAUGAGGGGAACAAGCUCCAAGGUAAGACUAUUGACUCUGUUCGUUAGUUUGUUCAUUUUCAAACUACCGAACUAGACCGUCCGCAAGCCCUGAUUCUCUGGAACUGUUUUGGGCAUGGGACCAUGCCUGCGGUCGGUCGAAUUAGUGACUUCCAUAGAAUACCUGAACCCCUGAACUAAUCUGGGUGAUUUUUGGAUAUGUUGGUCACCCAGAUCAGAGCUAUCAGGGGAUGUAACAUUUGUGGGGAUAUUAUGUGUUUCGGGGUACUUUUGGGACUUUAUAGAAAUGUGUGUUUUUUCUGCCUUGAGAUAAUUGGGUUAAUACAGUAUCUGACUUAAUUAUCUCCCAAACACAGGGGAGGGAUUGUAUGCUAUGUUUGGGAGUGUCAUGCAUUUGAAUACUGUUCUUAUUGGUCUGUAACUUUUGUAACUCAGUCCCCCACAAGGUCCGUGUGGGUGUACCCCUCGCGUGGGCAUUGUCAUAUAAGGCCAAGUGUGUCACCAUUAACCUAUUAAGGACCAAACUUCUGGAAUAAAAGGGAAUCCUGACAUGUCACACAUGUCAUGUGUCCUUAAGGGGUUAAAAUCAGUUCCUCUUCACCCUUAACAAAGAUCCUUGUCUCAUGUGUGGAGAGGACAACUAUAUUCACUCUGGGGAUUGCCAUACUCAUUAUACUACCCUGGGUUCUAAUCACUAACUCUUAUAAGAGCUGUUCCUGUUAUACUCUCUGGAGUAGGAGAGGUUCACCCACUGGAAGCUGGAUCCUGGUCUUGAGUCCAGGGGGGUGGAGGACAGCGAGACCCUAACCAAGCUGUGGCGGUUUGUGGGGUCGACGGUGCUAAUGGUGUCUUGUGGAGUGCUUGGAGUCCUCGGUGAGCACUAGGAGCAUCGAUUGGCGGAGUUACCCAGUCGGGGUGCCAGGAGGUCCGUCACAUCACCCAACUAUCCAUGAUCAAAAGUGACCCUAAGCACAAGGCCAAGUUGACCCUCCAGUGGUUCCAGCAGAAAAAGGCAAAGGUUCUGUAGUGGCCAUCACAGUUUCCUGACCUUAAUAUCAUCGAGCCACUCUGGGGACAUCUCAGACAUGUGAUUCAUGCAUGACCUGGAGGCAUUUUGCCAAGACGAAUGGGCAGCUAUACCACCUGCAAGAAUUAUGGGCCUCGUAGACAACUAUUUCAAAAGACUGCAUGCUGUCAUUGAUGCUAAAGGGGACAUAUUAAGAACAAAGGCUAUGCAGACUUUUGAACAGGGGUAGUUUCAGUUUUUUCUUAGUUGUCAAGUUUUGUUUUAUGAUUGUGCCAUUCUGUUAUAACCUACAGUUGAAUAUAAAUUCCAUAAGAAAUAAAAGACAUGUGUUCUGCCUGCUCACUCAUGUUCUCUUUAAAUAUGGUACAUAUAUUACCAAUUCUCCAAGGGUAUGCAAUAUUUUGAGCACGACUGUGUGUCCACUAUAUGCUUUAUGUAUGAGUUACUAUGAGGACACUGGCUCAGUAUAUGUGUCCACUAAAUGCUCUAAGUAUGAGUUGGUCUGAAAACACAGACUCCGUAUAUGUGUCCUCUACAUGCGCUAGGUAUAAAUUGGUGUGAAGACACCACUUCAGUAUAUGUGUCCACCAUAUGCUCUAUGUAUUAGUGUGAAAACACAGACACAACCUCAAUGAGUCCAUUUAAUCUUUGUGUAUUAAUGUGGUGUGGACAUUUUAAGUAUAUACAGCAUGUUUAACACAAGCUCUGUGUAUGGGUUGCUGUUGGUGAUAUACCCCAUAUAUGAAGUACUGUAAAAACUCAGCCUCAAUAUAUCGGACUCAUAUAAUAUUAGUAUAUAAACUGUGGUUUCUCUACGCCAGUUUUCUAAAUUAUUAUUAUUAAUAUUGCCAUUUAUAUAGCGCCAACAGAUUCCAAAGCGCUUUACAAUAUUAAGAGAGGAGGGAUUUAACUAUAAAUAGGACAAUUACAAGAAAACUUACAGGAACAAUAGGUUGAAGAAGACCCUGCUCAAACGAGCUUACAGUCUAUAGUAGGCGGGGUAUAAAACACAUUAGGACAGGAAAUAGCAAUCAAAUAAGGUGGGAGUGAAGCAGAGCUGUAGGAGAGAGUAGAGUGCUGCCCUUUAGGAGAGAGUAAGAGACAGGUAUACAAGGUAGAGGUUACUCUGGGAGGCCAUAAGCUUUCCUAAAGAGAUGGGUUUUAAGGUACUUCUUAAACGAUGCAAGACUAGGGGAGAGUCUGAUGGGGGUAGGCAGGCUAUUCCAUAGGAAAGGAGCUGCCUUCGAGAAGUCCUGCAAGCGUGAGUUGGCUGUACAGGUGCAAGCAAUGGACAGGAGAAAGUCACGGGCAGAGCGGAGAGACCGAGAAGGGGCAUAUCUAUGGAUCUGUGACGAGAUAUAAGAGGGGCUGGAAUUACAAGCUCCUUGGUAACAUCUUGCGUAAGAAAGGGGCGGAUGUGGGCUAUGUUUUUAAGAUGGAAUCUACAGGAUUUGGUGAGACUCAAAGGUGAGGCCAGAAUCAAGUAUGACCCCAAUACAGCAUGCUUGCAAGGAUGGACUUAUGUGGAUACCACUAACUUGAAGGUAGAGCGAAAGAGGAGGAUCAGUAUAAGGAGGAGGAAAGACGAGGAGCUAAAUUUUAUAGAGAUUGAGUUUCAGAAAGCGGGAGGACAUUGUCAGGAUUGCUAGUUGAUCCAGCACGUAGAAUUGUGUCACACAGAUGACUAAUAGAUGUGAAUCAAUAUUAGCUGCUUGAGGUCAAUAGAAUUAAGGGGCCUCCUGAGUUGAGGGGGGGGGGUUAAGCUGUUAGGCUGUUGAGUAAGGGGGUACUUGAGAACAAACGUUAAGAGGUGGUGAUCAAAGAGAGGAAAUGGAGUGUUGCAGAUACUAGAUACUGUACAUGCAUAAGAGAAAAUGAGGUUGAGGGUAUUGCCAGCUAAAUCGGUGGGAGAAUUAGCCCACUGCAAUAGGGAGGAAGGGAGGGAGGAAGUAAUUGAAAGUAGUUUAGAGGCUGCUGUGGUCAAAAGUGGGUUAAUGGAAAUAAUGAAGUCUCCGAGAAUUAGGGAUGGAAUAUUAGAAGAGAGGAAGUAGGGUAGCCAGGCAGCAAAGUGAUCAAGGAAGAGGAGAGGGGAACCAGGGGGCAAUGUUAGCAGAGAAAGGUUUGAAAAGGUGAAUCGACUGAUAGGAAAGAGAGGAUAGGAGAAACUUGUUGCCUUUUGUUUUUGCAUUAGAUAUCUCCUCUCACACAUGUGUUUCAGGAUAAACAAUUAACCACUUUAAAGGGACUGCAAGUGUUACCACCCACUGAAGAGGAGUUCUGAUUUCCAAAAUAGAGGCUGGUAAUAUUUAAUAGCAGUUAAUAAUAUACAUGAGACAAGUUGCUACGAGAGUAUUUAUAUGGCCCAGUUCCAUCUCCUCGUUGAUGAGGUCAAUUGAAUGUUUUUACGUUUGAUAGAAGUUUGUUAUUGCUGAUUGCAGGUGCACAGAUUGGGCUUUUUAUUGGCUCCCAUGAGCAAUUAACUCUGAAGCAAUUACCCUUCUGUUUUCAUUGGUAUGCUUUACUUGUCAAAUGAAAUUUGACUUUGAUUUUGAUUUUAAAAGUUGUGAAUACAAGCUGUUUUUUUCACCAGGUCCCAAUGUUGUAAUCACUGCAGGAUUCUUUUCUGCAAAAUUAAUUUCUCGUCUAGUUUAAAAAAAAAUGUUUUACAUUUUUUUCGGUGUACUGGAGUUGGUUUAGAAUUACUUUAGAACGGAGUAAAUUUUCCUAAAGCAUAACCUGUGUAUUUGUGUCAAUGUUAUUUGUUACAUUCAGUAUUCUGCUAUAUAAUCCCUUGUGGACCUUGGAUUAGGCAACCCCUUUAAUGUUUGUCAGGGAUGGCAUGCUCUUGGCUCUUAAGGAUCAGAACUUUCCUCAGAUUCCCUGUUGUAGGUUUGUCAGAAGGAACAUUGAAGGCAAAGGGGAAAGAGAUGGAUGGAAAGGGGGAGGUUGGUAAGAGGGAGUGAUGUUGAUGGAUAGGGAGAGGUUGGCAAGGGGGAGAGAUAUGAGUGGAAAGGAGGAGGUUAGCAAAGGGCAGAUAUAUGGAUGGAAGGGGGAGGUUGGCAAGUGGAAGAUAUAUGAAUGGAAAGGGGAGGUUGCCAAGGGGUAGUGAUAUGGAUGGAAUGGGGAGGGUGGCAAUGGGCAGAGAUAUGGAUGGAAGGGGGGAGGUUGGCAAGUGGAAGAUAUAUGAAUGGAAGGGGGGAGGUUGGCAAGGGGGAGAGAUAUGGAUGGAAGAAAGACACAGGAAGGUUGACAUGGGGAGAGUUAUGGAUGGAAGAGAAACACUGGGAGAAUUAAGGAUGGAAGGGGAGAGGGAGACAUAGCUGGAAGAGAGACACAGGGGAGGUUGACAUGGAAGGAAGAGGGAGGUUGACAUGGAUGGAAGGGGGAGGGAGAAAUGAAUGGAACUGAGAUAUGGGGGAAGAUAUGGAUGGAAGGGAGACAUGGGGGAGAGACAUAUAUUUAAGGUGGGAGGGAGAUAUUGAUAAAAAAGGGAGACAUGGGGGGAGAGACAUGUGGAGAGAGAUUUGGAUAGAAGAUGAGAAACAUGUAUGGAUGUAAGGAACAGAGACAUGGACAGAAGGUGGGAAGAAUAUACAUGAAUGGGAGGGAGACAUGGGGGAGAGACAUGCAUGGAAAGGCAGAAGAAGACACAUGGAUGGAAGGGAAGGGAAGAAGAGACAUGGAUGGAAGGGAAGUGAAAAAGAGACAUGGUUGGAAGGUGGUAGAAGAGACAUGGAUGGAAGUGGGGUAGAAGUAAGCGGAGAGUGCAGUCACACCUUACCCUGCCUGGAUAUUGCAGAGGGACUAGGGACUAGGGUGCGAGCGGAAUUGAGCGGAUAAUUCAACUACACCUCAGGUAACGAAGUAAAGCUUUUGAGUAGAUGAAAUGUAUAUACCCAGGAUUAAAUAUUGUGUGAGAAUAAAACCAGUAAUUUUAGUUUGUGUUGCUCUAGAAUUCACCAACUUAUAUACAGGUCACAGAUGACCAGUUACAUGAUGCUAUCUACUUAUCAGUGGGUAUUACUAUCAUUCAAAGACAAACACAGUCCAACCAUACACAGCCAGCCCAAAAUCAUCACACAUAAGCAGUCCCCAUCACACAUUGACAGUACAUAAUUAUCACACACAUUCUCAUCAUACAGAGUGAGCCCAGUGCUCCACAGUUUCCAUCACAUAUACACAGCUCAAUAACAUCACAUACAAUCAAUUCCUAUCACACACAGACAACACAACACAAUACAUCACAUGCAGUCCCCAUUACAGUCAGACAGCCAAAUAUAUCACACACAAGCAGUAGCCAUUACACUCAGACAGCCCAAUACGCAGUCCCCAUUACACCCCAAUACAUCACAUGCAGUCCCCACUAUACUCAGACAGCCUGAGUUCAUCUGCCUCAACCAAGGUAUUUGAUAGCUAGAAAAAAAAAAAAGUUAGGUGACGCCAGUAAAGACUCCUGUUUGUAAUGUGCAGGGCCCGACUUCCCGCGGUGGGAUGCGGCCUUUAAAAAUUUGCCAAUGUUGUGAAAUGCAGCCGCAAGAGUGUGAGAGAGUACUCUCUCGACCAAUGUGACAUCGCCUUUGUUGCUGCUGGAAUGGUGCAUGGUGCAUGCAGGAGGCUGUUUGAAGUCCUUGUGCAAGUCCUGUGGGUGCAAUAUAAGUGCUGGGUUGGGUGCUUGGGGCAAGCUUUGUAAGUGCAAUCUCAGUGCUGGGUUAAGUCAUGGGAGCUAAGGCAAGUGCUGUGAGUUUAAUUUCUCUGCUGGGGUAAGUCCUGUGGGUGCAAUCUCAGUGUUGUGUAAGUCCCAGGUACUAGGGCAAGACCCAUGAGUGCAAUCUCAGUGCUGCGGUAAGUCAUGGGUGCUAGGGCAAGUCAUGUGAGCGUAAUCUCCUUGCUGGGGUAAAUGCUGGACUCCAGUCAGGUGAGUGCAAUCUGGUGAUGUGCCUGUAUUAUGCUUGCAAUAUGGAGACAAUUAUUCCUCAUCACCAUCAUCACACAAGUAUUAAUAUGUUUGUGUAAAUAUAUAUUUCUGAUUUGAGGCUGAUAGCUGCUUUAUUGGGAAAGCAUUGAAUAUGGAACUUUGCUAUUUCAUGUGUAGUAGCAAAUGGGAGGGUUUGUAAGAGUUCCCCGGAGGACUUUCGGUGACUGGCAGGACUCUGUUCCUAAGAAACCUCAGGAACUUUUAAUUCCUUUUUAUUAUUUUUUUUUAUGGGACAGGGAGGAUUAGUAAACAAAAUAUAAUGCUAUAACGCUACGUUUCUUUAGUUUCCCUUUACAUGGUAAAGAACUUACGAAGGACUCAUUCUAUGUGAAACAGCACCUUUAAAAAAUGUAAAAUGAGUCCCAUCAAGGCUCAUAUUUCUUCUGAAUGUGAUAAAGCAAGUUUAGCCUAAAUCUCAUUUGAGUAGGAUAAUAACUGUAUUUAUAUAACAUGUUCUCAUUUAUGCAGUGGCGUACUAAAGGGGAGUGGGGGGAGGCGGUCUGCCCCCAUGCCACAAGGUAGAGGGGUGCCACCAGAGCAGGCCUUAGGGAGGUGUGAGCUGUGUGGCUGCACAGGGUGCCAUGGCAGUAGGGGCACCGGGCAGCCGACACAGCUCACACGCAGGGGCCGACAGGAGAACUUCAUGGUUACUUGGGGGCGGGACCAAAUUGGAUGUGGGGCAGAGCUAAAGGCAGCCUCCAUUUUCUGCUAUUACUGCUGCAAACUGAGGGGAAGCAGUAAGCAUUUCCUGCUUUCCCAACUACAACACACUAGGGACUUCAGCCCAUACUAUUAGUAAGUGAGAGAGUGUGUGAGUUGUGUGUGUAACUGUGAUUGUGUCCGUCUGUCUGCCUGUGACUGUGUGUGUGACUGCAUCUGUGACUGUGUGUGAGACUGCCUGUCGCUGUGUGUGUAACUGUCUGUGACUGCAUCUGUGACUGUGUGUGUGACUGCAUCUGUGACUGUGUGGGACUGUCUGCCUGUGACUGCAUCUGUGACAGUCUGUCUGUGACUGUGUGACUGCCUGUGUGUGACUGUCUGCCUGUGCCUUUGUGUGUUGCUGUCUGCCUUUGACUGUGUGUGUGACUGUCUGCCUGGGACUGUGUGAUGCUGCCUGUUACUGUGUUACAGUCUGCCUGUAAUUGUGCGUGUGUGCCUGUAACGGUGUGUGUAUGUGUGAGACUAUCUGCCAGUAGUCGUGCGUGUGACUGUCUGCCUGCAACUGUUUCUGUGUGACUGUCUGCCUCAGGGGCGUACCUAGAGCAUUUGGCACCCGGGGCGGAUCCUGUGCUUGGCACCCCCAAAAAACAUGUAAAAAAAUUUAAAGGUUCGCUUUUUUUUUUUUACAAUUUGUAAACUUUGCAAAACUGCUGUCAGCCCCUCCUACAAAACCCUUGUCCUGUCCCGCCCCUCCUACAAAACCUCUGUCCUGCCCCUUCUACAAAUCCUAUACUGCCUCGUCUACAAAACCCCCGCAACCCCACACACACUUUUACAGGCAGACAGUCACACACUCAGUUACAGGCAGACAGUCACAUACAGUCACAGGCAGACAGUCACACAUACACAUUUCCUCCAUGCGGCCAGUUUAUCAGCUGUUUGCUUGUGUGAGCUGUACUGGCUGCACGGCACCCUAACUACCAUGGGACACUGUGCGGCCACAGCUCACACAGCCCCCUCCAGCCAGGGCCGGUGCAAGGAUUUUUGCCGCCCUAGGCAAAAGUAAAGUUUGCCGCCCCCCCCCAUGUGACAUCACAAUGCCCCACCCAUAUGAUUUGCCAUGUUAACUAACGCCAGUGCUGCAGUGCCGCUGUGUUUACAUUAAAAGGCCUGCAGGGACAGGCUAUAGACACCAGAGCCACUACAUUAAGCUGAAGUGGUUCUGGGGACUAUAGUGUUUCUUUAAUGUGAGGUAAAUUAGAGCUUAGUGCCACAAAUAAUAUACUAGAUUGCCUACUUACAACCAGAUGAGGAUGAUGAUGGGCUCUAGCUGCAGUCUGGCUCCACUGGUCUGGUGCAGAACAGGCUCUCUGGAGGCGGUUUGUAACUGUGGUCACAAAAAUCAAUGUUCUGGGAGAACGGGAAGCAGCUCCAUUUUUUGGGGGUCCUUUACACAGCUCAAGGUCUGGGUCCCAGGGUCCACCUUCAUGUUCCACCAAUGAGUUUGUUCACAGGGGGUGGAGUGUGUAGGGGAUGUCCUGAUAUGUGUGUAAGGAAUGCAUUGUGUGAAAUUGUGUUUGUAUGUGUAAGGGCUGCAAGGUGUGUUUCUGUGUAUGUAUGGGAUGCAUUGAAUGUGUGUAAGGGGUGCAUUGAGUGUGUGUAAUGAAUGCAUUGUGUGUUUCUGUGUGUGUAAGGGAUGCAUUGUGUGUAACGGUUGCAUUGCUUGUGUAUGUGUGUCUGUGUGUGUAAUGCAUUGUGUGUUUUUCUGUGUGCAAGGGGUGCAUUGUGUGUAUGUGAUGAAUGUCAAUCUCUCCUCCCGCUCCAAUUUCCUUCUCCUCCUCCCAAUUUCUCUUUCUCACCCCUCCUCUCUCCCCCCUAAUUUCUCUUCCUCCUUCAAUUUCUCCCCCCAAUUUCUCUUUCCCCCCUCCUAAUAUCUCUCCCUCCCUCCUAAUUUCUCUUCCCCCCUCCUUUCUCAUCUGACUGUCUUUGCCCUGCAGUGAGCCGGCAGCCGGGAUAUGAUGUCAUCCCAGCAUUGGCAUCACAGGGCAUGUGAGGGACCUGUGCAGGAAGAGCACAGAGAUCCCAGCAGCAACAAUUGACCACCAGGGACUGAUGAUCCAUUCCAGCCAUCCCAGAGCAAGGUGUGUGUGUGUGUGUAUGUGAUGUCUGUGUGUGUGUGUCUGUGAUUGUGUUGUGUAUGUAUGUGAUUAUGUGUGUAUCUCUGUGGUUAAGUAUGUGUGUUGUGAUUUUGUGCGUUUAUGUAUGUGAUUGUGUGUGUGGAUUUGUGAUUGUGUGUGUGUGUCUGUGGUUAUGUGGGUGUAUGUCUCCGAUUGUGUAUUAUAUAUAUAUAUAGACACACACACAGACAUACAUCUAUUGUGUUAUUGUGUGUGUGUGUAUAUAUAUAUAUAUAAAUGUUUAUGUAUUUAGUAGAUAGCUCCCUUAAUUGGUGUCCUUAAAUCUUGCAAUCCCACAUAAGGAUAACAAAUAAGGGAUUUAUCUAUUGAACAACUGAAAGAUUAAAAUUAAGAAAAGGGCUUUUAAAAUUUUGAUCUUUUAGCUGUUUAGUAGAUACUUUCCUAAAUUGGUGUCCUUAUGCGAGAUUUCCAUAUUUAAAGAUACCAAAUUAGGGUGCUGUUUAGGAGAUAGCUCCCUUAUUUGAUGUCCUUAAAUAUGGCAAUCCCACAUAAGGACAGCAAAUAGGGGAGUUAUCUCAUAAAAAUGAUCGAAGUUAAGAGGUGUCUGCCAGCCCACAACAGGAAAUCUGGGUGGCUAAUGUGAAUUCUAUGCAAAUUCGUUGUUUGCAUCAGACAGAAAAUGGCAGCACAUUACCCCAUCGCCUAGUGAAAAGUUUUAGUGCAACCCCAGUUUUGACUGUGUUGUAUCUUAUGCCGCACCAGGAGGUGGGAGGGUCUGGGAGGGAGGGUCUGCUGCUGAUUGGCUGGAAUGUGUCUGCUGACUGUGAGGUACAGGGUCAAAGUUUACUCAAUGAUGAGUCCGUGGCGAACCGUUCGGGACAUCACUAGUUAACACAGUAAAGGAGUUUAAGCAUGCGUGGGAUAGGCAUAAGGCUAUCCUAACUAUAAGAUAAGGCCAGGGACUAAUGAAAGUAUUUAGAAACUUGGGCAGAAUAGAUGGGCUGACUGGUUCUUAUCUGGGUCACAUUCUGUGUUUCUUUCUUUCUAUAAGCUGUAUUGAUUUUUCUGACUACGUCCCUAGUUUAUCGAUAUUAAUGUAAAGUAAAAUUCUAAGUGAAUUUUAUUUUUAAGGCUUUAUAGCUGAAAUGAAAACGUGAAAAGUUUAAAUAGAAGAUAGCAGGUUGCGGAACUUGGACUGCAAGCCGGCAAGACGUGUAUCGCAUGAGCUCCUGCUGCUAACGCUGCUUACCCGGUGAUAAUUCGAGCUACAGAAUCGGACGCCUAUACCCAAGGUGACUCUCAUGCUGGGGGUAUCUUGGUCUACCUGUGGAACCUUAAUCAACGCCCAGAGGAACCGAGAACUGAGGCGGCAGGUUGCGGCCUACUGGAGAUGGAGUGGAGGAGAGACGGCUGCUUUCUUCCCUCUAAAUCCAACCACACUAGACAUAAUUGACCUACCUCUCUCCCCUCACCCCCUCCUCUGGACAGGUCCCCUCUGGAGAGCAGUCGGCUACACCAGCGCUGCCUUUCACAUCAACAAUACGCUGAUUUCAAAUAUGUAACUUUUAUUAAUAUUGCAUGCAUACUUUUAAAGUUAUAAGAAUUGUGUAAAAACUGUAUAUUUUCUGCCUGUGCUAAUUCAGUUAGUCUAUUGUCUUGAGAUAAUUGUAUCACAGGCAGAGGGGAGGAUUUCUGCUUGGAGCGGUUUACUUUAUUGUAUGUGUUAUAAUGUUUUUAUUGGUUGUUCUGAAAAACCCUGUGGGCGGUCCUGUAUGUGUUAAACCUGCAUGAAAGAAGGCCCUUUGGUGCCAAGUAAAACAGAGUUCUUCUUCACCCUCAAUCUAGAGUCCUGUCUCUUAUUGGGGGAAUUGCUAUAUCACUACAAGGGAUUGCUAUGCUCUGCAUACUCCCUUAGCUAAUCACUACUAAGCUCUUUUAAGAGCUUGUUCCUGCUUCACUCUCUUGGAGGAGUGGUGCACCCACUGGAACCUGGAGCCUUGUCAUAGGUCCAGUGUGGGUAGGAGACGGCGAGACGAAAGCCAAGCUGCGGCGGUUCGUGGGGUCUGCGGUGGUUGUGGUGUCUGGCGGAGCACUUUGAGCCCUCUGUAAGCGCUAGGAGCAUCCUUCAACGGAGGUACCAAGUCGGGGUGCCAGGUGAUCCAUUACACUACUACUGAUGAGAUAAAGUACCAUAGUACAAGAGCAAAUAUACAGAAACCUGUUUUAAUUUCAUGAAUAUCCCUGCUUAUUUAAGUCAAUUCCAUUGAAAGGUCCAUUAGUGUGGAUGGCUACCCCUCAUCUCCAAUAUAAUGUAGCAGAUGUUGUACAUGUGUAGACCACGGCUCUGCAAUGAGUAGAACUAGUUUUGGGUAUAAACUGUUUUUUUUGUUGUUGUUUUUUUUUUUUUUUAUAUAAAGUCCCAUUGGGAAGUGGACUAUCUUACUGUGGUGGGAGGGGCCUAACUGCAUUGCGAAACGUUCAAGAUAAGUAAACUUAAAAAAUAAAAAAAUUAAAUGCAUUAUUUAAGGCAUUAGAAACAUUAUACUACAUUUAACAAUGGAGAUAUUAAUAAAUGUAUGCCUGUCUUUAUUGGGGGGUAGCUCCCUCCCCACACACACAUACUGGCAAAAACAUAACCAAAGUAUUCUGGUUGGCCUGCACUAUACAGAAUGUUUUACGUUGCUUGAUAUUGUGACCUUUUACCCAUGGCUAUUAUUCAGCACUCCGUUACUCCAGUCUUUGCAUGGAAUCAAAUCAGAUGCGUACCUAGAGCAUUUGGCACACCGCUUCAUGCAGUGACCGGCAGGAGGAGUGCCCUGUGCAGUGUACUCCCCUCAUUCUCGUCACCCAGAGAUCAUGCCCCCUGGGCCACAGUGCCACUUAAUCCGUCCCUGAAUGGCACCCCCUUAAUGAGUGAUCCCUGGGGCAGGCCGCCCCCCUGUUAGUAUGCCGCUGCUUGGGAGUGUUAAUUUCUGUAUAGUUUAAAACUAAUACUUUAAUUUUGUGUAUGUAUUAUUAUUUAGGGAGACAGAAUAUUUUUGCCAAAACAUUUCAGUAUCGCACCAAAUGCUAUACAUCCUCCCCCCACCGCCCCUACCUGCUCUUCCCUCAUUUCCUGCAGGAAAGCAGGUGCAUUCUCAACUACCUUUACAUUCUUUCUUUCUCCAGAGCUGCACCCUGAUUUCCCUCUUCCUCUUGCUCCUCGUUUUAUUAUAGGAUGCUCCCUCAGCUUCCUCUAACCGUAACUAUUUAACUACUGUAAACACCCCUGCAUCCUCAUGUCUCAACUACCCAUUAUUCCCGUUAGGUUGUAAGCUCAUAAGUUAUCUUAAUACUCAAUUUGUAUAAAAGUACUGUAUUUACUAGAUUAGGAUUUUGGUGGCAGGGUCUUCUUAUUUUUUUGUAUCAGUACGUGUUCAUUAUUUGUCUGUAUCCCCUUUAAUGUACAAUGCUGCGGAAGCUUAUGAACACAUUUGUAGUUUUGUUUAUAGAUAUAUCCACAGUAACCAUUUAUUAACUAAUGUAUAACCAUUAUAUACUUCAUGUUGUUAAAGGAUCACUAUAGGGUCAGGAACACAAACAUGUAUUCCUAACCCUAUAGUGUUAAAAACACCAUCUAAUCCUCCCAACACCCCUAAAUAUAGCAAAAUCUUACCUUUUUCCAGUCUGCUGCUGCUGGCUCUGUCCCUGAUCUGCCUGCUUGUCUGACAUCAUCAGAAGUUGUGUUCUGAGCCAAUCACAAUGCUUUCACAUAGGAUUGGCUGAGAUUGUCAAGGAGGCAGAUCAGGGUUAGAGCCAGCACAAGCCAAACACAAUCCACGCCAAUCAGCAUCUCCUCAAUGCAUCUCCAUGAGGAAAGUUCUGUAUCUCCAUGCAGAGGGCUGAGACACUGAAUGGCAGUGCUUCACUGUGUGCAGCACUGCCCCAGGAAGCACCUUUAGUAGCCAUCUGAGGAUUUGCCAGUGGAGGUAUCCCUAUGCAGUAAUGGAAACAUUGCAUAUUCUCUGAAAAGACGAUGUUUACUGCAAAAGAUCUGAAUGGAAUGAUUAUACAUCCCAGAACAAAUACAAUAAGCUGUAGUUGUUCUGGUAAAUUUAGUUUCCCUUUAAGUGUCCUGUGUGGAACUGGAAAGUUGUUCACGAGACUAAUUAAAGGGAAAUGGUCUCUUCUGAAAGUUACCUUGUUGAAUAAAACAUUAAAAAUCCAGUUUUAGUCCAGAGCACAUAUUGUAAACUAGACAAAUGGAAACUUUACUUAAUUUCUCUGUAUGCUUUCUCUAUGUUGACUGCCAGGUACAAAGGACAGAGCUUAUUACAAUGAUUGAGAGGGAGCUAGAAUGGAAGUGCCCAGUUGCAGGAUUAAGAGUUAAGGUUUUGUACAUUUAAUUUAGGUUUUCACACUUUACAAGUGUAUAUAUUUGCUAAAUAUAGGGGAAUAAGUAAGCAUAGUAUGAAAACUCCACAGUUCCCUUUUAAUGUUUAUUACUGAUGAAUAUUUUUGUAAAGGUAAAUAAAAGAAUAUAUAGUUUUUUUUAAACUGUGAAUUAUACUUUUCGCUCAACAGUCAGAUAUUCUAAAGCUGUUCACACCUUACUGACGUAAUGUGUAAUAUUAGAGAUGUAAUAUUGUUAUAAUCAAUCUAUUUCAAACAAGUAACAUGACAACAUAUUGAAAAAUGCAAAUAUAUAAUUUAUUUAGGGUAAAAUAGGGGAUGUGGUUGGAGGUUAGGUGCUACAAAAAAAAAGAAGAAAGAAAUUCACAUUUUGCAAGUUUCUCCCUCUUCAGUCAUUCAAACUUCUUCACUCCUGCCCUUCUUUCUGUAAGACGAAUGAUAUAGAUUAAAUUAAACAGGCUGCAGCUAUAAUCCAAGGUUAUGCUCUUGAGUUAUAUAAGUCCCCCUCCAUUAAAAAGCUUGAUAAUGCCAAUUUUGAGAAUACUUCUUCAUCCAUAAAGAACUUUUAGGGUGAAUAACAAUAACUAAAGAUAAACUGAACAUGAUAGAAAAAUUGUAUCACCAGUGACUUAGAACUAGGGUUGUACCUUGCCGACAUCACGGCUCUUAGCUCUGAGCUUGUUCACUUGAGACUCGGCAAUGUCUGCUCUCUCCUCAGCUUCCUCUAGCUCAUGCUGGACCUUCCUGAACCGACCCAAGUGAGCGUUGGCUUGUUCCUCCUAAGACACAAGAAUGAAUGAAGAAUAAUUAACAAAGUAUUUGUAUAUAUGACUGCUACUUGUAGGGUAUUCUUACAGGGUAUUCUAAUUAGACUUUGGCUGGCUACAAACAAGAAUUCACUGGGUUUGUACUUACAGAUUCCUCAGCUUGUCUCUUGUAGGCCUUUACUUUCAGCUGCAGUUUGUCCACCAGAUCCUGCAAUCUCAGGACAUUUUUCCUGUCUUCUUCAGUCUGAAAGAGGAAAAACAGUUUUACAGAAUCUACUAGAGAUCAUGGCAUUAUUUUUUGUAAUUAUUAUUUUUUUUAAAGUAAUAUAUAUAUAAUCUACACUUAUAUAUUUCUUCUUUAUGACCAGUUUCAUUUUAAUACACAGAAGAAUAAUAAUUUACCUGGUAAGAUAGCUCCUUCACUCUCCUCUCGUAUUUGCGCACACCUUUAAUUGCCUCAACUCCACGUUUCUGUUCAUUAUCCAGUUCGUUCUCUAGUUCUCGAACCUGCAGAUCACAUCAGCAGAUUAAGGAUUAUUAUUUAGCAAUUUCUAAAUUCAACCUCAUUCACUACAACCCAGUGACUUGUACGUACUCUGGACUCAAGCUUCUGAAGCUGCUUCUUGCCGCCCUUCAGUGCUAGCUGCUCAGCUUCAUCCAGACGAUGCUGAAGAUCCUUCACAGUUUGCUCAAGGUUCUUCUUCAUUCUCUCCAAGUGAGAGCUGGUGUCCUGCUCCUUCUUCAGUUCCUCUGCCAUAAGAGCAGCCUUUGAAAAAAUUUAAGAAGACCAUGAAAAAAACCCAAAAACUCCCCCCAAGAAACAAAGAAAAACAAAAAGCAAACUGCUCAUAACGUGGAAACUUGGGACAAACAUACAUCGGUGAUGGCCUUCUUGGCUUUCUCCUCAGCAUUUCUUGAUUCUUGGACAGCUUCCUCAGCUUCGCUCUGGAGUUGAGCAAUGUCAGACUCAAGCUUCUUCUUGGUGUUGAUGAGGCUGGUGUUCUGAAGUGGAGACGAAUAUAGUGUAUUAAUUAUUCCAUCUAAUUAGGCACAUUCUGUCAAUGCACAUUUAAUUUGUUUCCAUCUUAUUUAUUUUACCUGUGAGUGCAGAAGCUGGACGCGUUCACUUGCAUCCAGGAGCUCUUGUUCUGCAGCCUUACGAGAUCUCUCUGUCUGUUCCAGAGCAGACCUGUUCUCUUCAAGUUCAGCCUGCAGCAGGUUGGUUCUACGUUCAAUCACGGCCACCUGUUCCUUCAGAUCUUCCUGUCCUCUUACUGCAUCAUCCAGAUGAAGCUGGGUAUCCUGUUAAAGAAAUAUCAAAUUAUAUGUUCAAGGUGUUACCUAUUAUG